RNAcentral lists this unclassified non-coding RNA (328 nucleotides) under uncultured fungus. RNAcentral's name for it is "partial contains 5.8S ribosomal RNA and internal transcribed spacer 2". The stretch from base 1 to 133 matches the Rfam family "5.8S ribosomal RNA", at positions 22 to 154 of the family's 154-position model. Lineage: Eukaryota; Fungi. The record is from RNAcentral.
UGGUUCUGGCAUCGAUGAAGAACGCAGCGAAAUGCGAUAAGUAAUGCGAAUUGCAGAAUUCAGUGAGUCAUCGAAUCUUUGAACGCACAUUGCGCCCUUUGGUAUUCCGAAGGGCAUGCCUGUUCGAGCGUCAUUGUCACUCCCUCAAGCUUGGCUUGUUGUUGGGCCCUUGUCACUGGGUGACAGGCCCCAAAGACAAUCACCGGUGUCGUCGAGACUCCCCGAUGCAACGAGCUUAUCAUGGCACGCAUCUUGGGGGUAACUUGGCCCGGUAUGACACCUUUAAUUUCUCCAGGUUGACCUCGGAUCAGGUAGGAAUACCCGCUGA